GUCUGUGGCCAUGCCGCCCUGAACAUGCCCAAUCCCAUCUGAUCUCAGAAGCUAAGCAGGGUUGGGCUUGGUUAGUACUUGGACGGGAGACCAACUAAGAAGACCAGGUGCUGUAGGCA
RNAcentral lists this ribosomal RNA (119 nucleotides) under Pteropus alecto (black flying fox). Lineage: Eukaryota; Metazoa; Chordata; Mammalia; Chiroptera; Pteropodidae. The record is from RNAcentral.